GAUGAACGCUGGCGGCGUGCCUAAUACAUGCAAGUCGAGCGAAUGGAUUAAGAGCUUGCUCUUAUGAAGCUAGCGGCGGACGGGUGAGUAACACGUGGGUAACCUGCCCAUAAGACUGGGAUAACUCCGGGAAACCGGGGCUAAUACCGGAUAACAUUUUGAACCGCAUGGUUCGAAAUUGAAAGGCGGCUUCGGCUGUCCCUUAUGGAUGGACCCGCGUCGCAUUAGAUAGUUGGUGAGGUAACGGCGCACCAAGGCAACGAUGCGUAGCCGACCUGAGAGGGUGAUCGGCCACACUGGGACUGAGACACGGCCCAGACUCCUACGGGAGGCAGCAGUAGGGAAUCUUCCGCAAUGGACGAAAGUCUGACGGAGCAACGCCGCGUGAGUGAUGAAGGCUUUCGGGUCGUAAAACUCUGUUGUUAGGGAAGAACAAGUGCUAGUUGAAUAAGCUGGCACCUUGACGGUACCUAACCAGAAAGCCACGGCUAACUACGUGCCAGCCGCCGCAGUAA
This 515-nucleotide ribosomal RNA is filed under the name uncultured bacterium. RNAcentral describes it as "partial 16S ribosomal RNA". It matches the Rfam family "Bacterial small subunit ribosomal RNA", at positions 28 to 523 of the family's 1533-position model. The record is from RNAcentral.